RNAcentral lists this ribosomal RNA (460 nucleotides) under uncultured bacterium. RNAcentral describes it as "partial 16S ribosomal RNA". It matches the Rfam family "Bacterial small subunit ribosomal RNA", at positions 338 to 795 of the family's 1533-position model. The record is from RNAcentral.
CCUACGGGUGGCAGCAGUGAGGAAUAUUGGUCAAUGGACGAGAGUCUGAACCAGCCAAGUAGCGUGAAGGAUGACUGCCCUAUGGGUUGUAAACUUCUUUUAUAUGGGAAUAAAACGUUCCACGUGUGGGAUUUUGUAUGUACCAUCUGAAUAAGGAUCGGCUAACUCCGUGCCAGCAGCCGCGGUAAUACGGAGGAUCCGAGCGUUAUCCGGAUUUAUUGGGUUUAAAGGGAGCGUAGGUGGAUUGUUAAGUCAGUUGUGAAAGUUUGCGGCUCAACCGUAAAAUUGCAGUUGAAACUGGCAGUCUUGAGUACAGUAGAGGUGGGCGGAAUUCGUGGUGUAGCGGUGAAAUGCUUAGAUAUCACGAAGAACUCCGAUUGCGAAGGCAGUUCACUGGACUGCAACUGACACUGAGGCUCGAAAGUGUGGGUAUCAAACAGGAUUAGAUACCCCAGUAGUC